Molecule: RNA transcript, 1970 nt
Organism: Mangifera indica (mango)
Lineage: Eukaryota; Viridiplantae; Streptophyta; Magnoliopsida; Sapindales; Anacardiaceae
Gene name: dolichol-phosphate mannose synthase subunit 3-like
Exons: 5
Source: RefSeq, a predicted model, not a curated record
ACAAAAUGAAACUUGAGAACUAACAAAACCUAAUUGACAUGUACGAGGUCUCUAAAAACAACAGUCACCGUCUCCUCCUCCCUAAAUUUAAGUACCGAUACCAUUACCUGCGCUGUUUCCGCCUGGCCAACGUCAACCUAGGACACUAGCAACCCGUCGCCAAAGGCAGUCUGAUUUCAACUUUGCGCGAAUCACUACGUAAUAUUGACGGGACGCCGGCGGGAUUUCCAGCCUUCAUUCCGUUCAUUUGCUACAGAAAUCGUUUAUUAAGCUCCAACAGCAGGAUUGUGGAGCAGUUUAUUAUUGCAAAUUCAAUGAAGCAUGUUGUGAAGAUCUUGACACUAGUUGUGGCCAUCACUUCCUUUUGGAUCGGCCUCUUGCAGACAUCUGUUAUCCCGAGUAGCCAUACUUGGUUGCUGCCUAUCUAUUUUGUUGUGUCCCUGGGUUGCUACGGAUUAUUAAUGGUUGGUAUUGGGUUGAUGUGUUUUCCAACUUGCCCUCAAGAAGCACUUCUAUUGCAGCAGGACAUCAAAGAGGCCAAAGAAUACCUGAAGCAAAACAAGGUUGAUGUUGGCUCUGAUUGAUGGGUUGAAGGUGGUUUCUAUUUGUUACGGAUGCAAAGGAAGAACCCAAGUUGGCAGGGGAAUGCAUUGAAACUUAAUCUUGACUUUUCGGUAGUGCAAAUUGGUAUACGUUACAAAUGCAGGAAACUAAAGAAAUUUUCUUUCAUUAUAUGAACACUCUCGAUGCCUGUAACUCUGAAGUCAUAAAAAAUAUCUACACAAAGCUUACAAAUCGAAAAAUCUACUUAAGUAAGAAGAAUAAUAAUAUUAUUAUGCGGCCGACUAUAUUUUUGUUUCUAAAUUUAAGUUUUACCAUAAUUGUGAAAAUUAUAUAUAUCCAAAUUAAAAAAAAAAAAGUAAUUGCAAUUUUAAUGCAUUAUUAUUUAUAUCUUUGUUUUGGUAAGGUGAUGGCGGUUGGAAGUUCGUUAAUUUUGUGAAGUUUAAUCAAUUGUCCUACUUUUUAUAGUGUCUGUCUUUUUUUAAUUUGUUUCAUCUUUUGGCCUUUCCUUGAAGCGUGUGAUCUUUCAUAGUUGUUAGGUUAGAUAUUAGACAUGAGGUUUGGCUUAUUUAAUGUGAUUAGUUUUGUUAUCAAAGAAUGAUCUAAAUUGGAGGAAAUAUUUUGUAAAAAAAAUUUAUGUAAUAAUAAUAAGGGUGAAAUAACAUUUUCUCACCAAAGUUUGGCUUUAAGAAUUGUAUUUUUAUUAUAUAAAUCAUAUCUUUUCAGUCAAAUUUUAAUUACUACCAGCUGCUGUGGGAGCAUUUAACAACCCAAGUCCCAAGAAUAAACCCUUCCGGCAGCCCUGGUUUGAACUUAUUAGUAAUCGGCCACUCAAAACAAGGCCAUGAGAAUUUAGGCAAUUGAAGGAGAGUAUCCGGACAGGAUUCUCAUUGCUUCAAUUAUUGAGAAGUGCAACGAGGCUGCUUGGGAGGAGCUCAAUGAUCACUUUUGUGAACUGAUAUUUGCUUUGUUUACUGAUAAGUAUUAAUUUUCUCAAUCAUUUGUCUGGCAUUGUGCUGUUGUGUAGGAUGCUAAUGGAGUGAAUCUCUUGGGUCAUCAUGGAAUGCCAGAGCGAAAAAUGGGGGCGGCUAUCGGCCAAGAUUGCGGGCUGCUGGAGGAAGUUUGUGGAUGGAUAAAUGUGAAAGCUACUAAUCCCGUGAAGAUGACUUCUAACAUUACUCACAUUGUUGCAAUCCAAAGCCCAAAACCAUCACCGCCACCUUUUCUCACUGCUGUCAGACGGAACACAAACAAAAAAUUCAAUGACUAAAAACAAAAAAUCGAUGUUGCACAUAAGAUAUAGGUUAUGGUAUGUUCUAAAGUUUUCGGGUCAUUUUGUUGAAGUAGUUCUCUGUUUUUUAUGAAAAUAAGAGUUUAGCAAAUAUAAUAUAAAGAACGGUUUUUACUGA